UUUAGUUUGUUUUGUAAUUGGAAUGAUGGCGACCCAAACCCUCGCCAGAGUACCAAUUGGAGGGCAAGUCUGGUGCCAGCAGCCGCGGUAAUUCCAGCUCCAAUAGCGUAUAUUAAACUUGUUGCAGUUAAAAAGCUCGUAGUUGAACUUCGGCCUUGCGCGUCCUGCGGGUCUGCGCGCGGCCUUUGCGUUACUUUGAGAAAAUUAGAGUGUUUCAAGCAGGCUUUCGCCGUGAAUACUUGAGCAUGGAAUAACUGGGCAGGACCUUGGUUCUUCUUUGUUGGUUUUGUACCUGGGUAAUGGUUAAUAGGAACGGUUGGGGGCAUUCGUAUUUAACUGUCAGAGGUGAAAUUCUUAGAUUUGUUAAAGACGGACCACUGCGAAAGCAUUUGCCAAGGACGUUUCCAUUAAUCAAGAACGAAAGUUAGGGGAUCGAAGACGAUCAGAUACCGUCGUAGUCCUAUUACUAGACAACUAA
Molecule: ribosomal RNA, 478 nt
Filed under: Babesia ovis
Lineage: Eukaryota; Apicomplexa; Aconoidasida; Piroplasmida; Babesiidae
Description: bacterial SSU rRNA
Rfam family: Eukaryotic small subunit ribosomal RNA
Source: RNAcentral